RNAcentral lists this ribosomal RNA (563 nucleotides) under uncultured Bacillus sp. RNAcentral's name for it is "bacterial SSU rRNA". It matches the Rfam family "Bacterial small subunit ribosomal RNA", at positions 65 to 610 of the family's 1533-position model. Lineage: Bacteria; Bacillati; Bacillota; Bacilli; Caryophanales; Bacillaceae. The record is from RNAcentral.
AGCGAAUCUGAGGGAGCUUGCUCCCAAAGAUUAGCGGCGGACGGGUGAGUAACACGUGGGCAACCUGCCUGUAAGACUGGGAUAACUUCGGGAAACCGGAGCUAAUACCGGAUAAUCCCUUUCCUCACAUGAGGAAAGGCUGAAAGAUGGUUUCGGCUGUCACUUACAGAUGGGCCCGCGGCGCAUUAGCUAGUUGGUGAGGUAACGGCUCACCAAGGCCACGAUGCGUAGCCGACCUGAGAGGGUGAUCGGCCACACUGGGACUGAGACACGGCCCAGACUCCUACGGGAGGCAGCAGUAGGGAAUCUUCCGCAAUGGACGAAAGUCUGACGGAGCAACGCCGCGUGAGUGAUGAAGGUUUUCGGAUCGUAAAACUCUGUUGUUAGGGAAGAACAAGUAUCGGAGUAACUGCCGGUACCUUGACGGUACCUAACCAGAAAGCCACGGCUAACUACGUGCCAGCAGCCGCGGUAAUACGUAGGUGGCAAGCGUUGUCCGGAUUUAUUGGGCGUAAAGCGAGCGCAGGCGGAAAGAUAAGUCAGAUGUGAAAAGCCCUCGGCUU